AUCCCUUCGUGGCAAUUUCAUAGUCGAGGAAGUUAUACUGAGACGUGAUUAUUGCUUGAAAACUUAACCCAAUACCCUUGAGAUGAUGACUUGAAAUAUAGUCAGCUAUGGCAAUUUUGCCAGUCUCCUACGAGA
Molecule: small nuclear RNA, 135 nt
Organism: Pseudoliparis swirei
Lineage: Eukaryota; Metazoa; Chordata; Actinopteri; Perciformes; Liparidae
Product: U4 spliceosomal RNA
Exons: 1
Source: RefSeq, a predicted model, not a curated record